This is a non-coding RNA of Octopus bimaculoides (California two-spot octopus), 74 nucleotides long. The record is from Rfam. Lineage: Eukaryota; Metazoa; Mollusca; Cephalopoda; Octopoda; Octopodidae.
AGGUGCAUGGCUUAGUGGUUAGGGCAUUCGGCUCCUGAUCGUAAGGUCGUGAGUUCAAUUCCCGGCUACGCGUU